AAAAGCUUUCUUUAAUUGAAUAAUUGAAUUUAAUUUUUUAGUGCAAAAGCAAAAAUAAAAAUUAGGGACAAGAAGACCCUAUGAAUUUUUUAUUAAAUUUUAUAAAACUUUAUAUAAAAUUUAAUUUAAUUGGGGUGAUGGAAAAAGAAUAAAUAUCUUUUUUUAAAAGAAAAUUGGUUCCGUUCUUAGCGAUUAAAUGAAAAAAAUACUCUAGGGAUAACAGCGUAAUAAUUUUGGAUAGUUCAUAUAGAUAAAAUAGUUUGCGACCUCGAUGUUGGAUUAGGAUUCUUUUUUGGUGAAGAAGUUAAAAAAAGAAGUUUGUUCAACUUAUAAUUUCCUACUUGAUCUGAGUUCAGACCGG
This 361-nucleotide ribosomal RNA is filed under the name Ixodes ricinus (castor bean tick). RNAcentral's name for it is "partial 16S ribosomal RNA". The stretch from base 66 to 361 matches the Rfam family "Bacterial large subunit ribosomal RNA", at positions 2078 to 2619 of the family's 2925-position model. Lineage: Eukaryota; Metazoa; Arthropoda; Arachnida; Ixodida; Ixodidae. The record is from RNAcentral.